AGUGAACGCUGGCGGUAGGCCUAACACAUGCAAGUCGAACGGCAGCACAGGAGAGCUUGCUCUCUGGGUGGCGAGUGGCGGACGGGUGAGGAAUACAUCGGAAUCUACUUUUUCGUGGGGGAUAACGUAGGGAAACUUACGCUAAUACCGCAUACGACCUACGGGUGAAAGCAGGGGACUUUCGGGCCUUGCGCGGUUGAAUGAGCCGAGGUCGGAUUAGCUAGUUGGCGGGGUAAAGGCCCACCAAGGCGACGAUCCGUAGCUGGUCUGAGAGGAUGAUCAGCCACACUGGAACUGAGACACGGUCCAGACUCCUACGGGAGGCAGCAGUGGGGAAUAUUGGACAAUGGGCGCAAGCCUGAUCCAGCCAUACCGCGUGGGUAAAGAAGGCCUUCGGGUUGUAAAGCCCUUUUGUUGGGAAAGAAAUCCAGCUGGCUAAUACCCGGUUGGGAUGACGGUACCCAAAGAAUAAGCACCGGCUAACUUCGUGCCAGCCGCCGCGGUAA
This 506-nucleotide ribosomal RNA is filed under the name uncultured bacterium. RNAcentral's name for it is "partial 16S ribosomal RNA". It matches the Rfam family "Bacterial small subunit ribosomal RNA", at positions 29 to 523 of the family's 1533-position model. The record is from RNAcentral.